RNAcentral lists this ribosomal RNA (387 nucleotides) under uncultured Alphaproteobacteria bacterium. Its description in RNAcentral is "bacterial SSU rRNA". It matches the Rfam family "Bacterial small subunit ribosomal RNA", at positions 62 to 497 of the family's 1533-position model. Lineage: Bacteria; Pseudomonadati; Pseudomonadota; Alphaproteobacteria. The record is from RNAcentral.
UCGAGCGCGCCUUCGGGCGAGCGGCGGACGGGUUAGUAACGCGUGGGAACGUGCCCAGAUCUACGGAAUAGCCACUGGAAACGGUGAGUAAUACCGUAUACGCCCUUAGGGGGAAAGAUUUAUCGGAUUUGGAUCGGCCCGCGUUAGAUUAGGUAGUUGGUGGGGUAACGGCCUACCAAGCCUACGAUCUAUAGCUGGUUUUAGAGGAUGAUCAGCAACACUGGGACUGAGACACGGCCCAGACUCCUACGGGAGGCAGCAGUGGGGAAUCUUGGACAAUGGGGGAAACCCUGAUCCAGCCAUGCCGCGUGAGUGAAGAAGGCCCUAGGGUCGUAAAACUCUUUCGCCUGUGAUGAUAAUGACAGUAGCAGGUAAAGAAACCCCGGC